GUCCCCGUCGUCGCUUCGUGGAGGGGUUCCUUCUCGCUAACCUCUGCGCCCGGAAGUGGCAACAGGACUGCCACAUGCCCUCACGCCUAGUCUGUAAAGAACUUUGUUUAACCCGGAGGCGGGGCCAGCCAGCUCCGCCCCUCCAGCUGGACGCGGGAGCGAGGUUGAGGUUCGUACCCCUGGGUUCUCUCCAGGCCUGAGGCGGAGAGCCAGCCGCCUGCCUACCUCUGGGCUUUGAACGCCGGGUCUGGUGACUUCGCUUAAAGACCUCGGGCCGAAGGCCCGCCAGGCUCAACCUCGGUUCACAGGACUCCCGACUUGUGUGAGUCGUACACCGCUCUUUACCGUCUCUGGACCUAGGUGAUCUCGGCAGUAAAAUGGGGUGAAAUGACCCGACCUCCCCGGAGGAUGCCGCGCACGAUGUGUGCCUCAAGUUGGCUUCCACUGACCUGAACUGUUAAGAAAGCCCUCCUCAGUGACGCCUUCCCUGAAUCCACAGUGGAGAUUGCCGUUUCCCUGGAAUUAAUUCACCCACAUUUACCCAUUUCAUCCCUUUCCACCUUUUAUUUCUACCUUUCUGCCCCACUGAUCUCUAGAAUAGGUGCUGGGAGACGUUAGAGUAUUUGAUCUCCCACUCCCCAGUCAUCCCACUUACCGAGCAGUAAUUCUCUGCCUGGCUGCACAUUGGAAUCACUUGGGAAGCCUCUAAAAAUACUGAUGCCAGGGCUCUACCCCAAGCCAGUUAAAAUCUCCAGCGCUGGACCUGGGCAUUGGUACUUUUUGUAAAGCUUUCAGUUUACCAAGAUGAUGCCAGUAUAGCUAGUGAGAUGCAGUACGCCAUCUUCAGCCCCCUCGCCUCUGGAAGAGACACCAGACUGCAAAGGGCACCGCGUACAGAAGCUAACGGAACUUGAAUGACAAGACAAAAAGAGCAGAACCAGUUAGUGUGACACAACAUUCUAACAUGCCUGAUUCUUACAUCAAAUAUGGUAACUUGGGGGUUGGUGGGGGGAGACAAACAAGGAGAAUCCACUUGGGAACAAUUUGAUGAAGUUUGCAAACCAGCACUUUACCCCCAAAUUAACAACAGCUUGUAUGGAAAAAAAAUGCUCUUUUAAAAGUAUAUGGUUUGGACAGGUA
Molecule: long non-coding RNA, 1140 nt
Organism: Gorilla gorilla gorilla (western lowland gorilla)
Lineage: Eukaryota; Metazoa; Chordata; Mammalia; Primates; Hominidae
Exons: 2
Source: RefSeq, a predicted model, not a curated record